Molecule: ribosomal RNA, 394 nt
Filed under: uncultured eukaryote
Lineage: Eukaryota
Description: partial 18S ribosomal RNA
Rfam family: Eukaryotic small subunit ribosomal RNA
Source: RNAcentral
CAAUAGCGUAUAUUAAAGUUGUUGCAGUUAAAAAGCUCGUAGUUGGAUUUCUGAAUUGAAUAUCCGGUCCGCUCGUCUCUGAUGAGUGCGUACUUAUGGGUAUUGGAUUCAUUUUUUGUGAGGACAUUUAUCUGUCAUUAAGUUGAUGGAUUUAUAGACUUGCAUCGUUUACUGUGAAAAAAUUAGAGUGUUUAAAGCAGGCGUUCGCCCAUUUGAAUACAUUAGCAUGGAAUAAUAAGAUAUGACUUUGGUGGUCUAUUUUGUUGGUUUGCACACCAGAGUAAUGAUUAAUAGGGACAGUUGGGGGUAUUCAUAUUUCAACGUCAGAGGUGAAAUUCUUAGAUCGUUGAAAGAUGACCUUAGGCGAAAGCAUUUACCAUGGAUGUUUUCAUUA